Molecule: ribosomal RNA, 464 nt
Filed under: uncultured Klebsiella sp.
Lineage: Bacteria; Pseudomonadati; Pseudomonadota; Gammaproteobacteria; Enterobacterales; Enterobacteriaceae
Description: bacterial SSU rRNA
Rfam family: Bacterial small subunit ribosomal RNA
Source: RNAcentral
CCUACGGGAGGCUGCAGUGGGGAAUAUUGCACAAUGGGCGCAAGCCUGAUGCAGCCAUGCCGCGUGUGUGAAGAAGGCCUUCGGGUUGUAAAGCACUUUCAGCGGGGAGGAAGGCGGUGAGGUUAAUAACCUCAUCGAUUGACGUUACCCGCAGAAGAAGCACCGGCUAACUCCGUGCCAGCAGCCGCGGUAAUACGGAGGGUGCAAGCGCUAAUCGGAAUUACUGGGCGUAAAGCGCACGCAGGCGGUCUGUCAAGUCGGAUGUGAAAUCCCCGGGCUCAACCUGGGAACUGCAUUCGAAACUGGCAGGCUAGAGUCUUGUAGAGGGGGGUAGAAUUCCAGGUGUAGCGGUGAAAUGCGUAGAGAUCUGGAGGAAUACCGGUGGCGAAGGCGGCCCCCUGGACAAAGACUGACGCUCAGGUGCGAAAGCGUGGGAGCAAACAGGAUUAGAUACCCGUGUAGUC